GGCUGGUCCAGGUGCAGUGGUGUUUACAGCUAAUUGAUCACAGCCAGUUACAGAUUUCUUUGUUCCUUCCACUCCCACUGCUUCACUUGACUAGCCUAAA
Unclassified non-coding RNA from Homo sapiens (human), 100 nucleotides. It matches the Rfam family "Y RNA". Rfam says of the family: Y RNAs are components of the Ro ribonucleoprotein particle (Ro RNP), in association with Ro60 and La proteins. The Y RNAs and Ro60 and La proteins are well conserved, but the function of the Ro RNP is not known. In humans the RNA component can be one of four small RNAs -- hY1, hY3, hY4 and hY5. The record is from Ensembl. Lineage: Eukaryota; Metazoa; Chordata; Mammalia; Primates; Hominidae.